CGGCCGCGGUAUCCAACCGUGCAAAGGUAGCAUAAUAACUUGCCUAUUAAUUGUAGGCUAGCAUGAACGGGAAAACGAAAUAAAAACUGUCUCAGUUAGUUAACUAAAAAUUAUUCUCUAAACGAAGAAAAAUAGAUUAGUUCGAAGGACAAGAAGACCCUAUAGAGCUUUAUUUUAAAUAGGAUAUAACCUUAAAUAAAAUUCGGUUGGGGCGACUAGGGGAAUAAAUGACUCCCCCUCCUAAAAAGAUAAAUCAAUCUCACUAUUGACCCUAAAAAGAUCACUAAAUCAAGCUACCUUAGGGAUAACAGACUAAUCCCAUUCAAGAGUCCAUAUCAACAGUGGGGUUUGGCACCUCGAUGUUGGCUUAGAUAUCAAUAUAGCGCAAAAGUUAUACAAAGAUGGUUUGUUCAACCAAUAAUUU
This 424-nucleotide ribosomal RNA is filed under the name Megascolides n. sp. 1 TRB-2010. RNAcentral describes it as "partial 16S ribosomal RNA". It matches the Rfam family "Bacterial large subunit ribosomal RNA", at positions 1928 to 2594 of the family's 2925-position model. The record is from RNAcentral. Lineage: Eukaryota; Metazoa; Annelida; Clitellata; Crassiclitellata; Megascolecidae.